RNAcentral lists this ribosomal RNA (454 nucleotides) under uncultured Porphyromonas sp. RNAcentral describes it as "partial 16S ribosomal RNA". It matches the Rfam family "Bacterial small subunit ribosomal RNA", at positions 341 to 792 of the family's 1533-position model. The record is from RNAcentral. Lineage: Bacteria; Pseudomonadati; Bacteroidota; Bacteroidia; Bacteroidales; Porphyromonadaceae.
ACGGGAGGCAGCAGUGAGGAAUAUUGGACAAUGGUCGGAAGACUGAUCCAGCCAUGCCGCGUGAAGGCAGACGGUCCUAUGGAUUGUAAACUUCUUUUGUACGGGAACAAUAAGGUCCACGAGUGGUCCGAUGAGAGUACCGUACGAAUAAGCAUCGGCUAACUCCGUGCCAGCAGCCGCGGUAAUACGGAGGAUGCGAGCGUUAUCCGGAUUUAUUGGGUUUAAAGGGUGCGCAGGCGGGCCUUUAAGUCAGCGGUGAAAUCCCGUAGCUCAACUACGGAACUGCCGUUGAUACUGGAGGCCUUGAGUCGUGUCGAGGAUGGCGGAAUGCAGCGUGUAGCGGUGAAAUGCUUAGAUAUGCUGCAGAACUCCGAUUGCGAAGGCAGCUGUCCAGAGACGAACUGACGCUGAGGCACGAAAGCAUGGGUAUCAAACAGGAUUAGAUACCCUGGUA